This 427-nucleotide ribosomal RNA is filed under the name uncultured bacterium. RNAcentral describes it as "partial 16S ribosomal RNA". It matches the Rfam family "Bacterial small subunit ribosomal RNA", at positions 355 to 774 of the family's 1533-position model. The record is from RNAcentral.
UGGGGAAUAUUGCACAAUGGGCGCAAGCCUGAUGCAGCCAUGCCGCGUGUAUGAAGAAGGCCUUCGGGUUGUAAAGUACUUUCAGCGGGGAGGAAGGCGAUAAGGUUAAUAACCUUGUCGAUUGACGUUACCCGCAGAAGAAGCACCGGCUAACUCCGUGCCAGCAGCCGCGGUAAUACGGAGGGGGCAAGCGUUAACCGGAAUUACUGGGCGUAAAGCGCACGCAGGCGGUCUGUCAAGUCGGAUGUGAAAUCCCCGGGCUCAACCUGGGAACUGCAUUCGAAACUGGCAGGCUAGAGUCUUGUAGAGGGGGGUAGAAUUCCAGGUGUAGCGGUGAAAUGCGUAGAGAUCUGGAGGAAUACCGGUGGCGAAGGCGGCCCCCUGGACAAAGACUGACGCUCAGGUGCGAAAGCGUGGGGAGCAAACA